RNAcentral lists this ribosomal RNA (331 nucleotides) under uncultured eukaryote. Its description in RNAcentral is "partial 18S ribosomal RNA". It matches the Rfam family "Eukaryotic small subunit ribosomal RNA", at positions 1470 to 1796 of the family's 1831-position model. The record is from RNAcentral.
CCCUUAGAUGUUCUGGGCCGCACACGCGCUACACUGGCAGGUUCAUCGAGCUUCAUGCCCUGAUCUGAGAAGAACGGGAAAUCUUUGAACACCUGCCGUGCUUGGGAUAGAUGUUUGCAAUUAUUCAUCUUCAACGAGGAUUGCCUUGUAAGCGCACGUCAUCAGCGUGCAUUGAAUACGACCCUGUAUUCUGUACACACCGCCCGCCGCUCCUACCGAUUGAAGUUUUCGGUGAAUUUACUGGAGAUCCCUUUUGAAGGUGGUUCGCCACUGGAAGAAGUAUUCAAAAGUAAAUGAAUCGAAUGCUUUAGAGGAAGGAGAAGUCGUAACA